UUUAAAAUUCCAUGUCUUUGCAUACUUAAAAAUGGGAAGCUGAUAUUUAACUCAGAAUUUGAUUUUCUUUUUCCAGUCACUAUCCUGUUUGCCUGACCAUUUCCUCUCUCUUUAAAUGCAGGUAAACAGAAACCGGUAGAAUAAAUUGACCAGCUCCCUCACCACCACCCUCUGAGGAGGACUCUAGAACUAAAGCCAUUUGCUUUCCACUGGCUCCAUUCCUCUUCAAAGAAAGAGCACACAUUUCAUGAUUAGCAGUUUUAAAAAUGUCUUGGGCCUUUGGUAGAACAGAAAAAAUGUCAAACAGGUUUGAAUAUAAUGAAAGGGUGUGGGCAGAAAUGUUGAAUUUUUCUGAAAGGUCUGGCCAGAACAAGGUUACCAGGAAAAUCAUUCUUUCCUGAAUAUAGGGUAAAGCUGGUUCGAUUCACUCCAAAAAUAUUUCACGUUUAGAUUUCCAAGGUUUCUUUCCUUUCCAGUAAUCCCUGGUAGACACCAGGCCAUAGCUCUCUCUGAUGGGGAAACUGAAAUGGAAUUGGAAGAACCAAGUCACUGCUGCUCAACGAGGGAAGUCACUGUCUUCCAGAAUUCGUCUGGCAGAAGUUUGAGGUUCUGCAUUACCAGAAGAGAGAAGAGAACGCCUCCUCAGAUGGAAAUAGUGAUGUCUACAGAAUGAACAUCUCUGAAUCCCUUUGCUAAUUUAAGACCCUGCAGUACCUGAGUAUCCCUGGAUUGCACAUCGGUUCUCAUCCUAUUCGCCUGCAGUUAGAGGAGACAAAAAGGGAUGCCAACCAGAUAAUCCAGGACGAUUUCAACGCAGCUAUCCUUCUUCCAGAUAAGGCAGUAUUCACAGGUUCUACGGACUGGAAAUGGACUUUUUUGUGGAGAAGCCAUUUUUCAGCCGACACAGAUGAAAAGGUGUCUUAUAAAUGACUUAUUGACUAUGAGUGCAUGGGGAGGGUGGAGUUGGUUUGCAGUAUUAUACUAGCGUCUCCUAUCUCGAUCCUGUGAUGAAAACUAUACGUUUUUAACCUAAAAAAUGUGACUACUGUAUAAACUCAAUACCUGAUUUUUUUUUUUUUUAAAUGAGGUAAUAGACUCAGGGAGUUUAGAUAAUUCACUUAAAGUACAUCAUGGAUUAAGGAUACCACUUAAGUGGUAAAUUUAGAAUCCAAAUAGAAGUAAUUCAUUUUCAUGUUUUCUUGAUAAAGGCUUUUAAACUGCAUCCCCCCUUUUCUAUCAAGUUAUUGAAGACUCAGAUCUCUCUCACACACACACACACACACGCACCCACGCACCCGUGCGCGCACACACACAUGCACGCACACAAUUCCAACACAAUAGAGGCACAGAAACCUCAUCAAUGCGUCCUUACAGGUUGAGCCAUAAAGAACAGUUUUUUUGAAAAUCCACUAAACAAAAAAAGGUUUUCAGGUGUGGAAAACAGGAGUGCACACACCGUAGGAUCCAUGACAACAUACUGCCAUUCUUUGUUUGCACACCUGCUUCAGAGAAUUGCAAACAUCUUGAGGGCAGGGAUUACAUAACAGUGAUGACAUAUUGUGCCCCCAUACUCACACUGUUUUUUAAGUGACUAUGGGUAUAGCCCUGGUGGCUCUUUUAGAACAGUGAUUCUUACCCCAUUCCUCCAGUAACAACUGCUUGAAUCAGGGGAGGACAAAAAGCAUC
Macaca mulatta (Rhesus monkey) is the source of this 1686-nucleotide non-coding RNA. The record is from RefSeq and is a predicted model, not a curated record. Lineage: Eukaryota; Metazoa; Chordata; Mammalia; Primates; Cercopithecidae.